UCCUGCCUGUAGUAUCCCACAUCAAGGAGCCACAUUUAUUUGUCCUGCCUGUAGUACUCUGGCUUGGCCUAGGCUUGAAAGUUCGGUAAAUGGAAAAAUCCAAUUUAGAUACUAACCGGUUUGACAAGUAUUUUUUUUUUUUCUCCUUCUUUUCUUUUCUUUUCUUUUUGAGUCUUACUAAUGAAUAUCCAAAAUAAUGUAUCCAAAUAAUCUAUUUUCCAUAAAAACCUAUAUAUCCUAAUAUAAAUUAUCUAUAGUAAGAUUCCAAAUUUAAAAAUUCUAAAGUUACCAUUCAUG
Molecule: long non-coding RNA, 297 nt
Filed under: Elaeis guineensis (African oil palm)
Lineage: Eukaryota; Viridiplantae; Streptophyta; Magnoliopsida; Arecales; Arecaceae
Description: long non-coding RNA (EGUI_LNC082207)
Source: RNAcentral